This 438-nucleotide ribosomal RNA is filed under the name uncultured bacterium. Its description in RNAcentral is "partial 16S ribosomal RNA". It matches the Rfam family "Bacterial small subunit ribosomal RNA", at positions 339 to 795 of the family's 1533-position model. The record is from RNAcentral.
CUACGGGAGGCUGCAGUGGGGAAUAUUGCACAAUGGAGGAAACUCUGAUGCAGCAACGCCGCGUGGAGGAUGACACUUUUCGGAGCGUAAACUCCUUUUAUAUAGGAAGAAGAUGACGGUACUAUAUGAAUAAGCGCCGGCAACUCCGUGCCAGCAGCCGCGGUAAUACGGAGGGCGCAAGCGUUACGAGGAAUCACUGGGCGUAAAGAGCGUGUAGGCGGAUUAAAAAGUCAGAAGUGAAAUCCUAUAGCUUAACUAUAGAACUGCUUCUGAAACUCUUAAUCUAGAAUAUGGGAGAGGUAGAUGGAAUUUCUGGUGUAGGGGUAAAAUCCGUAGAGAUCAGAAGGAAUACCGAUUGCGAAGGCGAUCUACUAGAACAUUAUUGACGCUGAGACGCGAAAGCGUGGGGAGCAAACAGGAUUAGAUACCCUCGUAGUC